UCGCAGGUUGAUUUCCUCGUGAUAGCCU
This 28-nucleotide small RNA is filed under the name Bombyx mori (domestic silkworm). RNAcentral describes it as "piRNA piR-bmo-1646025". Lineage: Eukaryota; Metazoa; Arthropoda; Insecta; Lepidoptera; Bombycidae. The record is from RNAcentral.